Molecule: non-coding RNA, 73 nt
Organism: Zootermopsis nevadensis
Lineage: Eukaryota; Metazoa; Arthropoda; Insecta; Blattodea; Termopsidae
Source: Rfam
GCCACGGUGGUCUAGCGGCUAGAACGCUGGCCUUGUAAUCCUGGGGUCUCGGGUUCGAUUCCCGGCGGUGCCC